GUAACGGCGAGUGAACAAGGAAUAGCCCAUCACCGAAUCCUUCCUGACCUUCAGGCAAGGAAUUGUGGUGUAAAGGACAAUUUUUGUUUUAUUAUCGUCGGCCCGAGUUCUCUUGAAUGGGGCUUUACCCACAGCGGGUGUCAGGCCUCUAGCGGUCGAUCGAUUUUGAAACUUUUUUUGUCCCGAGAGUCGGGUUGCUUGAGAUCGCAGCCCUAAGACGGGUGGUAAACUCCAUCCAAGGCUAAAUACCGUCGCGAGACCGAUAGCGAACAAGUACCGUGAGGGAAAGUUGAAAAGAACUUUGAAGAGAGAGUUCAAUAGUACGUGAAACCGUAUAGGGGUAAACGGGUGGAAGCGCUAAAUCGAAUCGAAAAAUUCAAAUCUACAUUUGCUCGUUCUGUGACUUACUAAAUAGUUCACUCUAUUAGUAUUUGCUGUCACGUUCAAUGUUGGUUGCACUUUUUUCUUUUCGAGCGCCUCGACAGAUUGCCACGUACGCGCACUCUAAAGAUAUUAACUAGGUACCGCGACCUGUUUGCGAACUUAUAAGUUUUUAUUUAUGCGUACAUGUCGAUCUUGGACUUUAUUCAAGUAUCAGCGCAAGCGAGAUAAAUGUUUAUAUUUUAGCUUUGUCCUGAAUUAUCCUCCCUAGUGAGUUUAUUCUAACCUUGCUAUCAUAUUUUCAUUUUUUCUCAUGAUACUUUAGUCAGAGGCGAAUGGUCGUACAUCUACCCGACCCGUCUUGAAACACGGACCAAGGAGUCUAACAUGUGCGCAAGUCAUUGGGUUUACUAAACCUAAAGGCGAAAUGAAAGUGAAAGCUACCUCUCGGUAACUUAGGUGUGAUCCAAUUUAUUGGCGCAACACCGUCCGGUCACAUUUGCUUCGCAAUAUGGCCGCGAAAGAGCGUACACGUUGGGACCCGAAAGAUGGUGAACUAUGCCUGAGCAGGAUGAAGCCAGAGGAAACUCUGGUGGAGGUCCGUAGCGGUUCUGACGUGCAAAUCGAUCGUC
RNAcentral lists this ribosomal RNA (1013 nucleotides) under Monommata maculata. RNAcentral's name for it is "eukaryotic LSU rRNA". It matches the Rfam family "Eukaryotic large subunit ribosomal RNA", at positions 83 to 906 of the family's 3401-position model. The record is from RNAcentral. Lineage: Eukaryota; Metazoa; Rotifera; Eurotatoria; Ploima; Notommatidae.